UCCGGUUUAUCACCGGCAGUCUCCACAGAGUCCUCGGCUUCACCCGUUAGUAACUGUGAACAAGGGUUGCGCUCGUUGCGGGACUUAACCCAACAUCUCACGACACGAGCUGACGACAACCAUGCACCACCUGUACAGGACCCUUGCGGACCCCCCAUCUCUGGAGGAUUUCCCUGUAUGUCAAGCCUAGGUAAGGUUCUUCGCGUUGCUUCGAAUUAAGCCACAUGCUCCACCGCUUGUGCGGGCCCCCGUCAAUUCCUUUGAGUUUUAAUCUUGCGACCGUACUCCCCAGGCGGAAUGCUUAAUGCGUUAGCUGCGCCACCGACGAGCAAGCUCGCCAACGGCUGGCAUUCAUCGUUUACGGCGUGGACUAC
Molecule: unclassified non-coding RNA, 374 nt
Filed under: uncultured bacterium
Lineage: Bacteria
Description: contains 16S-23S intergenic spacer region
Source: RNAcentral